CCUACGGGAGGCAGCAGUGGGGAAUAUUGCACAAUGGGGGAAACCCUGAUGCAGCGACGCCGCGUGCGUGAAGAAGUAUUUCGGUACGUAAAGCUCUAUCAGCAGGGAAGAAAAUGACGGUACCUGACUAAGAAGCCCCGGCUCACUACGUGCCAGCAGCCGCGGUAAUACGUAGGGGGCAAGCGUUAUCCGGAUUUACUGGGUGUAAAGGGAGCGUAGACGGCAGCGCAAGUCUGGAGUGAAAUCCCAUGGCUUAACCAUGGAACUGCUUUGGAAACUGUGCAGCUAGAGUGCAGGAGAGGUAAGCGGAAUUCCUAGUGUAGCGGUGAAAUGCGUAGAUAUUAGGAGGAACACCGGUGGCGAAGGCGGCUUACUGGACUGUAACUGACGUUGAGGCUCGAAAGCGUGGGGAGCAAACAGGAUUAGAUACCCGUGUAGUC
Molecule: ribosomal RNA, 440 nt
Filed under: uncultured bacterium
Lineage: Bacteria
Description: partial 16S ribosomal RNA
Rfam family: Bacterial small subunit ribosomal RNA
Source: RNAcentral